UAGUCAUAUGCUUGUCUCAAAGAUUAAGCCAUGCAUGUCUAAGCACAAGCCGAUUAAUGGUGAAGCCGCGAAUGGCUCAUUACAACAGCCAUAGUUUCUUAGAUCUUACUUUUCUACUUGGAUAACUGUGGUAAUUCUAGAGCUAAUACACGCAAACAAGCUCAGACCUUACGGAAUGAGCGCAUUUAUUAGAACAAAAACCAAUCGGGCUUCGGUCCGUCAUUUGGUGAAUCUGAAUAACUUUGCUGAUCGCACGGUCUUCGUACCGGCGACAUAUCUUUCAAAUGUCUGCCUUAUCAACUUUCGAUGGUAGUUUAUGCGCCUACCAUGGUUGUAACGGGUAACGGAGAAUAAGGGUUCGACUCCGGAGAGGGAGCCUGAGAAACGGCUACCACAUCCAAGGAAGGCAGCAGGCGCGCAAAUUACCCACUCCCGGCACGGGGAGGUAGUGACGAAAAAUAACAAUGCUGAAAUUCAAUUUCGGUAAUUGGAAUGAGUACACUUUAAAUCCCUUAACGAGGAUCCAUU
This 528-nucleotide ribosomal RNA is filed under the name uncultured eukaryote. Its description in RNAcentral is "SSU rRNA". It matches the Rfam family "Eukaryotic small subunit ribosomal RNA", at positions 21 to 549 of the family's 1831-position model. The record is from RNAcentral.